GACGAACGCUGGCGGCGUGCUUAACACAUGCAAGUCGAGCGGAAAGGCCCUUUCGGGGGUACUCGAGCGGCGAACGGGUGAGUAACACGUGAGUAAUCUGCCCCUGGCUUUGGGAUAGCCACCGGAAUCGGUGAUUAAUACCGGAUACGACCACUUCUCGCAUGGGAUGGUGGUGGAAAGUUUUUCGGCCAGGGAUGUGCUCGCGGCCUAUCAGCUUGAUGGUGAGGUAAUGGCUCACCAUGGCUUCGACGGGUAGCCGGCCUGGGAGGGUGACCGGUCACACUGGGACUGAGACACGGCCCAGACUCCUACGGGAGGCAGCAGUGGGGAAUAUUGGACAAUGGGCGGAAGCCUGAUCCAGCAACGCCGCGUGAGGGAUGACGGCCUUCGGGUUGUAAACCUCUUUCAGCAGGGACGAAGCGCAAGUGACGAUACCUGCAGAAGAAGCACCGGCCAACUACGUGCCAGCAGCCGCCGUAA
Molecule: ribosomal RNA, 480 nt
Filed under: uncultured bacterium
Lineage: Bacteria
Description: partial 16S ribosomal RNA
Rfam family: Bacterial small subunit ribosomal RNA
Source: RNAcentral